ACUUGUAGCUUUGAUGAAGGGGAGAGGUGAACUGCAACCACGUGGGGGAAAAAAGAAGAAGAAAAGGAAGCUUCAGACGAGAGAGACGACGACCACCUCCAUUUACAUUUACAUUUUCUUUUUCUUUUUCUUUUUCUUUUUCUUAUAUAUAUAUAUGUAUGUGUGUGUGUGUGUGUGGGUGUGCUUGCAAUUAAAUAAUAUAAUAUAAUAGGCAGGCAGCCGGCGCUUUGAUUGAAGAUGGAGGGAUGGAGGGAGGGAAGAAUGUUUGUAUGGAUGGAAGCUUUGGAAAUGGAGAAGAAGUAAAGAACAGAGCCAGAAGAUGGAGAAGAUGAAGAAAGGAGGAGAGCUCACAUAUAUAAUCCUUCACGGUCAUGGCUUCUGUUUUCUGUGGUGGCGGUGACAUCUGAGCCGCCCCGCCGUAGCGUAUGAUUGCCUUCAGAGCCCAUAUGUAUGGUCUCUGUGCGUGUGUGAUUUUAUUUCGUGCAGCUAGCUACAAUAAUGGAUAAAUAAGUUGUGCAUGAUGCAACCUAGGGGUGUGCAUUAGGGGUGUGCAUGGGUACCGGGUAUACCCGGAACCGGUCGGAACCUACCCGUUAGGGUAGAGUCCGAGUAGCUCGUAUUGAAAAUAGGGUAGGGUCCGGGUAUCAAAAUAAAGAACCGGUCACAUCCGGUUCCGGUUCCGGUUCUAAUUUACUGGGUACCCAGAACCGGAAUUGGAAUCGGUAUCCGGAACCGGAUGGUAAUUACAAAAAAAAAAAAAAGAAGGGAAAGUUAAUCUCACUCAUCAGUAUUCAGUCUCAUUGUUUGAAGCAGGCUGCAGGGGUCGGGAGAAGUGGAGAACGCAGGAUUCAUCGCCUCCGACUUUCGGUGACCGCACUGCAGCUCCUCUCCGUCGCUCCCGUCGUCAUCUUUGCCAGUGUUUCAAGCUCUGCGUUUGGUUCUGGAUUUAUCAUCCCCGCUGCAGCUCAUUUGGUGAAGUGGAAAUUACUGCCUGAAAUCUGGUAGUUUCAAAAUCAGGUCUGAUCUUGUCUGUUUCUUUUGGCUGUAAAUUCGUAAUGACGGAGGACCCUGCCUUCCCCAACCCCCGGCAAAUCACCAUUUUCUUUUUCC
Molecule: non-coding RNA, 1110 nt
Organism: Punica granatum (pomegranate)
Lineage: Eukaryota; Viridiplantae; Streptophyta; Magnoliopsida; Myrtales; Lythraceae
Source: RefSeq, a predicted model, not a curated record